This 383-nucleotide ribosomal RNA is filed under the name uncultured bacterium. RNAcentral describes it as "bacterial SSU rRNA". It matches the Rfam family "Bacterial small subunit ribosomal RNA", at positions 32 to 394 of the family's 1533-position model. The record is from RNAcentral.
AAUCAACGCUGGCGGCGUGCCUCAGACAUGCAAGUCGAACGCGAAAUCUCCCUUCGGGGAGAAAGUAGAGUGGCGCACGGGUGAGUAACACGUAGGUAAUUUGCCUUCGGGUGGGGAAUAACAGCCGGAAACGGCUGCUAAUACCGCAUAAUGCAGCGGCUCGACAUCGAGACAGUUGUUAAAGCGGGGGAUCGCAAGACCUCGCGCCUGAAGAGAAGCCUGCGGCAGAUUAGCUAGUUGGCAGGGUAAUGGCCUACCAAGGCGACGAUCUGUAACCGGCCUGAGAGGGCGGUCGGUCACACUGACACUGACAUACGGGUCAGACUCCUACGGGAGGCAGCAGUCGGGAAUUUUGGACAAUGGACGCAAGUCUGAUCCAGCCA